GCCGAGAGAUGCUCGCAGAGCUCAAGGCAGUAAGAGAGAACCCCAUUCCUUCAGUGCGGACCAGGAGCACUUGUGAUGCUGCGAGCAAACGAAGGCCAUGCUCCGGGCUAGGGGGCUGAGCUGUGACCGGGAUUCAGUUCUCUGCUCUGCUGUUCAUCUCUCGUGGUUCUUCAGGCCCAUCACCAUCCCAGAAGCUUUCCAUUUGUGACAGAAAUAAAUACUUAUCACCAUCAGAGAGGUCUGAAUAUCCCUUGUUUGAAGUGCUGCCAGCACAGCUGCAGAGUGCAUCUCAGAUAAAUGGAAGCCAUGACAAACAGAAUGAGUUAACCCAGUGCAAACUUUCCAUCAAAUAUGCACAGCAGGUUAUAAAAUAGUCCAUAAGAUUAAAAAGUUAAGAAAAGACAUCCAACCUCUGUGCUUAAAAAAAGAUUAAUGGACAAAUUGCCUUCUUUAUAGGGACAAGGAAGAGGUAAAAAAGAAAAGCACACAAAGAUUUUCUGCUGAUCUCUGCAGGCUAAAAGUCAGAGGAUCAAACCUGAAUCAACAAUGCAAACUUCACCGUGUUUCCCACCAUGCAUGACAACUGUGAGCUCUGGAAAUCCGCUGUUCCUUCCUCAUGCAACAGAGCCUUGGGUGGAUCUAUCAAGAAUUUCUCCAUAUUACAGGAUUAUAACAAAAGAAUUUACAUCUCUCAGACUCAAAAAGGCCUGGAUCAUUACAGUUUCAUCUAUUAUAAUUAACUCUUUAUUGUGAGAACAACUCAAAGCAAUUAGGUAUCACAGUACAGAAAAAAGAGAGCUUUUAAACACUCUCCCACCAGCAAGUCUUUGGUGUUAGGUUUGACUUCAGUUUGCUCAGGAGCAUAGGAAGGGACAGGGAAUUCUGCAAAAUCCCUGAUGGACUCUCAGAAACCUCUCCCCAGCCCACUGGGGCUGGUGCUGCUCCUGGUGGCACUCAGCCUUCUGGUAGUAUCUGGAUCAUCAUCUCCCUCAGAAGUCAGGAGUUGGCAGUAACAGACAGUUGUGACAUCCAGUGAAAGCUGGGGAACACAGAGAUUUCCUUAUAUCUUGCUCGGAACUUUCUUCCAUGAAAUUUUACCUUGAAAUUCCAUAAAUAUAUUAAAACAAUAUUUAACUACCUGAGAUGUGUCACCUAUUCAACAUUUCCCAGCAUAUAGUGCCAGUAAAACCAGUAUUUUUCACCUAACUAUUCACAACCAUGUCUGUUAUUGCUGGUUCACCAAUUUGUGUCAAUCUUUUUGGCUGAAAUUACUAUUACUAAUCUAUUACAUAAUUAAUCGCUAAUAUAGUAGUUUCUCUCUAUUUUCUUUAUUAAGUUCUACAAAUCAUUGAAUUCAAUAUAGAAAUUGGAACAUUUUCUGAGACAUUCAGAAUUCAUUAUAUAGUAUGAUUUUUUUUUCUUGUUCUCAGUGGUUCAUAAUAAAUUAAUAAACCCGAUUUCAAGAUUCCUGCUCAGGAGGAAUAUCCUGUCACCCAGUCAGUGACCUGUUACAAUAUCUAUUAUUAGAUGCACUAUUUAAUUAGGAUAUACACUCAGGAGAUCUGCUUAAUCAGGAUGUCUCCCAGUGAACACAUUUAGGUCCAGCAACAUUCAUUGGCAAUGACUUUCAUAAUGGGGAUGGUAACUUCCCUUAACUGGGAUACCUUAGCGUGAGUUAGUGUGUUAACCAAAGUCCUGUACUUCUGUCUUCUCUGACAAGAGCUUUCAGAUUUUCUCAUGCUGUGACAGAAAACACAUGAAAUAUGUAUUGCCCUGGUUUUGGCCAUGAGAGUCAACUUCUUCCUAGUAGCUGGUACAGUGCUGCAUUUUUGGUUUUAAUAGAAAAUAAAUGUUCAGGACACAUUGAUGUUUUUGUUGUUGCUAAGCAGUGCUGACCCUAAGUCAAGGACUUUUCAGUUUCCCAUACUCUAGUGCAGUGUUUCUUUGGAACAGAAGGUCAAGCAGGUUUUCCUCCUACCUUGCUGCUUCCUGGGAUGAGCCUUUUUACCUUCAUGGAUGGGUAUGUAGAGGGCCAGCUCACAUAAUGCACAGUUACUUGGCUGCCUGCUUUGCUCUUCUACACCUUCUAAAAACCCCCUUUUUCUAUCUUGAGAACCACUUUAGGGUCAUCAACAGGGCCCAGUUGUGACAACUGAUGAUCAGAACAAACUGGAGGCCAAAAGCCAUAAUUUCUCACAGCAGGUCAGAGUUUAGACCUUGCUAGAGAAAAAACACUCUCUAUACACACAUCAGAGAAGAAAAAAAGGAAGCAGCUGUAUUAUGUGCCUUGAUUAAACUGCCUCUUUAGUCAUCACCAAUUCUAUCAGCCUCAGUUGAAGAAACCCUAUCAACAGGCAAUUUUAAAAAGAAAAAUAAACAAAAUCUGCAGUCUUUAUGUGCACAUAUUCAAGUUCCAUCUCCAAGAACAUCUAUUAAAAUAUUCUGAGCUAGAAAUUUGCUGCUCAUUGACAAUCUAAGAUAACCAAGAAAUUAUUGAUCUCUCUCCUUCUCCUCCACUAAGAGAAAGAAAGAAUGCUAAAGAGCUGCUGUUGAGAUAAAAUGCACCAUACUUAACUUCAAGUA
This is a long non-coding RNA of Passer domesticus (house sparrow), 2583 nucleotides long. RefSeq lists it as uncharacterized. The transcript has 6 exons. NCBI's taxonomy places the organism in Eukaryota, Metazoa, Chordata, Aves, Passeriformes, Passeridae. The record is from RefSeq and is a predicted model, not a curated record.